Molecule: ribosomal RNA, 569 nt
Filed under: uncultured bacterium
Lineage: Bacteria
Description: partial 16S ribosomal RNA
Rfam family: Bacterial small subunit ribosomal RNA
Source: RNAcentral
UGGGGAAUUUUGGACAAUGGGCGAAAGCCUGAUCCAGCAAUGCCGCGUGUGUGAAGAAGGCCUUCGGGUUGUAAAGCACUUUUGUCCGGAAAGAAAUCCUUGGCUCUAAUACAGUCGGGGGAUGACGGUACCGGAAGAAUAAGCACCGGCUAACUACGUGCCAGCAGCCGCGGUAAUACGUAGGGUGCAAGCGUUAAUCGGAAUUACUGGGCGUAAAGCGUGCGCAGGCGGUUUGCUAAGACCGAUGUGAAAUCCCCGGGCUCAACCUGGGAACUGCAUUGGUGACUGGCAGGCUAGAGUAUGGCAGUAGGGGGGUAGAAUUCCACGUGUAGCAGUGAAAUGCGUAGAGAUGUGGAGGAAUACCGAUGGCAAAGGCAGCCCCCUGGGCCAAAUACUGACGCUCAUGCACGAAAGCGUGGGGAGCAAACAGGAUUAGAUACCCUGGUAGUCCACGCCCUAAACGAUGUCAACUAGGUUGUUGGGGAUUCAUUUCCUUAGUAACGUAGCUAACGCGUGAAGUUGACCGCCUGGGGAGUACGGUCGCAAGAUUAAAACUCAAAUGAAUUGAC